Molecule: ribosomal RNA, 391 nt
Filed under: uncultured Chrysophyceae
Lineage: Eukaryota; Chrysophyceae
Description: partial small subunit ribosomal RNA
Rfam family: Eukaryotic small subunit ribosomal RNA
Source: RNAcentral
GCUUGUCUCAAAGAUUAAGCCAUGCAUGUCUAAGUAUAACUCUUUUACUUUGAAAACUGCGAACGGCUCAUUAUAUCAGUUAUAGUUUAUUUGAUGGUUCUUGCUACUUGGAUAACCGUAGUAAUUCUAGAGCUAAUACAUGCAUCAAACCCCGACUCACGAAGGGGUGUAUUUAUUAGAUGGAAACCAAUGCGGGGCAACCCGGUAUAUGGUGAUUCAUAAUAACUUUCGGAUCGAUCUUCGGAUCGAUGCAUCAUUCAAGUUUCUGCCCUAUCAGCUUUGGAUGGUAGGGUAUUGGCCUACCAUGGCUUUAACGGGUAACGGAGAAUUAGGGUUCGAUUCCGGAGAGGGAGCCUGAGAAAUGGCUACCACAUCCAAGGAAGGCAGCAGG